RNAcentral lists this ribosomal RNA (114 nucleotides) under Caerostris darwini. Lineage: Eukaryota; Metazoa; Arthropoda; Arachnida; Araneae; Araneidae. The record is from RNAcentral.
AACGGCCAUGCCAUGCUGAAUAUAGCGGUUCUCGUUAGAUCACCCGAAGUCAAGCAUCAUUGGGCGCGGUCAGUACUUGGGUGGGGUGACCACAUGGGAAAAACGCGUGCCGUU